GGGGAUUUAGCUCAGUGGUAGAGCACUUGCCUAGCAAGCGCAAGUCCCUG
This is a non-coding RNA of Rattus norvegicus (Norway rat), 50 nucleotides long. The record is from Rfam. Lineage: Eukaryota; Metazoa; Chordata; Mammalia; Rodentia; Muridae.